Molecule: ribosomal RNA, 443 nt
Filed under: uncultured bacterium
Lineage: Bacteria
Description: bacterial SSU rRNA
Rfam family: Bacterial small subunit ribosomal RNA
Source: RNAcentral
GCUAAACGCGAAGAACCUUACCAGGGCUUGACAUCCUCUGAAAAGUAUAGAGAUAUACUCCUCAGUCUUCGGACUGACAGAGAGACAGGUGGUGCAUGGUUGUCGUCAGCUCGUGUCGUGAGAUGUUGGGUUAAGUCCCGCAACGAGCGCAACCCCUAACAUUAGUUGCCAGCGAGUGAGGUCGGGAACUCUAAUGUGACUGCCGUUGACAAAACGGAGGAAGGUGGGGAUGACGUCAAAUCAUCAUGCCCCUUAUGUCCUGGGCUACACACGUACUACAAUGGCCGGUACAGACGGAGGCGAAGCUGUGAAGCGGAGCAAAACUGAGAAAGCCGGUCCCAGUUCGGAUUGUAGUCUGCAACUCGACUACAUGAAGUCGGAAUCGCUAGUAAUCGCAGGUCAGCAUACUGCGGUGAAUACGUUCCCGGGUCUUGUACACACCG